GUCCACGCCGUAAACGUUGGGCACUAGGUGUGGGACUCUAUCGACGGGUUCCGUGCCGUAGCUAACGCAUUAAGUGCCCCGCCUGGGGAGUACGGCCGCAAGGCUAAAACUCAAAGGAAUUGACGGGGCCCGCACAAGCGGCGGAGCAUGUGGCUUAAUUCGAUGCAACGCGAAGAACCUUACCUGGGUUGAACUAUGCCGGAAAAGCCGUAGAGAUACGGUGUCCUUCGGGGCCGGUGAUAGGUGGUGCAUGGCUGUCGU
RNAcentral lists this ribosomal RNA (261 nucleotides) under uncultured bacterium. RNAcentral describes it as "partial 16S ribosomal RNA". It matches the Rfam family "Bacterial small subunit ribosomal RNA", at positions 793 to 1055 of the family's 1533-position model. The record is from RNAcentral.